UACGUAGGGGGCGAGCGUUGUCCGGAUUCACUGGGCGUAAAGGGUGCGUAGGCGGUCGGGUAAGUCUGACGUGAAAUCUCCGGGCCUAACCCGGAAACUGCGUUGGAAACUGCCUGGCUAGAGGAAUGGAGGGGAGACUGGAAUACUUGGUGUAGCAGUGAAAUGCGUAGAUAUCAAGUGGAACACCAGUGGCGAAGGCGAGUCUCUGGACAUUUCCUGACGCUGAGGCACGAAAGCUAGGGGAGCAAACAGG
This 253-nucleotide ribosomal RNA is filed under the name uncultured bacterium. RNAcentral describes it as "partial 16S ribosomal RNA". It matches the Rfam family "Bacterial small subunit ribosomal RNA", at positions 524 to 776 of the family's 1533-position model. The record is from RNAcentral.